CGAGCAGGCCUCUAGACAGAAGAAAGAGAGCACGCAUGAACACUGCCUCUGAUUGCAGCCUCGAUGCGUGCUCUUUUUCUUCUGUCGGGAGUCCCU
Molecule: microRNA precursor, 96 nt
Filed under: Selaginella moellendorffii
Lineage: Eukaryota; Viridiplantae; Streptophyta; Lycopodiopsida; Selaginellales; Selaginellaceae
Description: miR1088 stem-loop (smo-MIR1088)
Source: miRBase by way of RNAcentral